GGGUUGUGAGGUUAAGCGACUAAGCGUACACGGUGGAUGCCCUGGCAGUCAGAGGCGAUGAAGGGCGUACUAAUCUGCGAUAAGCGCCGGUAAGGUGAUA
RNAcentral lists this ribosomal RNA (100 nucleotides) under Salmonella enterica subsp. enterica serovar Enteritidis. RNAcentral describes it as "partial 23S ribosomal RNA". It matches the Rfam family "Bacterial large subunit ribosomal RNA", at positions 1 to 91 of the family's 2925-position model. The record is from RNAcentral. Lineage: Bacteria; Pseudomonadati; Pseudomonadota; Gammaproteobacteria; Enterobacterales; Enterobacteriaceae.